Equus quagga is the source of this 3996-nucleotide long non-coding RNA. RefSeq lists it as uncharacterized. The transcript is spliced from 9 exons. NCBI's taxonomy places the organism in Eukaryota, Metazoa, Chordata, Mammalia, Perissodactyla, Equidae. The record is from RefSeq and is a predicted model, not a curated record.
CAGAGGUUGCGGUAAGUCUGGAUGCCACAGAGAGGACUUUGUGGUGCCUGUAGAAAUCUUCUUCAUGGAAGAUUUCUGUUUCAGAGAUCUGAGAAAGCUGUGGUCUAAGGGGCAGAGGGAACCCCAAGUACUGUCCAGCCAUAGCCACGAAACACUUGGACAUUCCGGGAUGUUUUUCUGUGCAGAGACUAUCCAGAUUUUACAUGUCCAAUGGAUGCUUUUCUUCUACCUUCUAUGGUCAGGAUUGAUGUAUUCUCCGUCCCAGGGAAGUAAAUAAGGAUGUGUGAUGUGUUUCUUUUAUAACAAUGCAUUCGACAUACCUCAUCACUGUCACCUUGUUUCUCUAGAGUGACAGAAGUUGGCUUGGAACCCCACUCCCUACCCACGAUCAUGGAAAAUUUCACAUAAGCAGAUAAGUUCCAUUACGCCAGUGGUUAUUCGAGUUCUCUGUCAUUAUCUCCAGAGGGGCAUGAUGCAAGAGAGAAAGCAUGGGUGCUAGCAGUGGUGACCUUGGUCUGAAUACUGUCUCUGACCCUUUCUGGUUGUGUGACAUUAGGCAAUGUGCUGUGACACACUGAAUUUCAUUUUCCUCAGUUGAAAAAUGAGAUUAAUAAAAUGUACCCUGCUGGCUUGUUAUGAGGAAUGGAGAAACAGCUAAAGUGCCCGGACCAGAGUGGAUGUUCAAAAAAUAAUGACAGCAACGACUGACUAUUACUAGAUUUUAGAAACAAUAAAAAUCUGACCACAGAUACUCUUCCACAAUUUUUCUAGGUGUGGCAUUCAUUGAACUAUUUGAGUAAAUGCACAUUAAUUCUUAUUUUUCUGUACUGAGGGAGGCUAUAUCUGGAAUACUUUGUAUUGAGAAACUUUAGGAAAAAAGGACAUACGAGGAAUUAACAUGUUGUGAAGGGGCCCUGUAUUGGAAUGAAGGAGAAGUGGAUUCCAGUCUGAGUUUUGCUGUAAUUAGUAGCCGCUGCCUUAUGCAACUGUGAGUAAAUCCUCUGUUUCAACAUAACAGGAGGGGAAGGAGUAGAGUGUACUUAAGCUCCUCUUCACUCAUUUAUUCCUUCAUUCUCCAAAUGAAGUAAGCAUCAUCUUGCAUUUAUUUCCUAAUUUUGCCGGGAACAGACAACUUAAAAAGUUGUAGAGUUGUAAAUAGCUAUUGCACGUCCUCUGACUUGGCUAUAGCUUAAAAAAUUUCAAAGCAAGGAAAGUCCACUUUUAAGGUUUAAAAAUUAAUAUGUAUAUAUAAAUACGUAUAUAUGUGCACGUAAUGUCAGGUCUAAAUAAGGAUCAGAAAAGAAAUAGAUCUUGGUCUAAAGGAUUAGAAUAUGAGAGGAUGGGAGGUGACACUGCUUUUUAAAAAGUGAAAGAAGAGUAAACCUUUCUGAACGGGUAACAUAUAAAAAGACAACAACAAAUUCACAACCAGCAAUUCCAUAGCAUCUUUCAGUGACUCCCCAGAGAAUUUUACAUCUAUAAUUUUUGUUCACUUAAAUAAACAAAUGUUUAUUUAGCCUUAAUGACAACCCCCCUGUCAGAGUGUAGGGUUGUAAAAGACUUCUUCCAGGAACUCUGGGUAUGGGAAUAAGAAGUGAGAAAGAUUACAAUUCCAAUAAGGAUUUAGGGACAUUAAGGGUGGAAUCUAAGGGAGCCAGCAGAGAGGCCUAAACUCAAGAGCGCCAAGUGAAGGCGUGAAAGCUCCUCCUGGGGGAAAUGGUAUGUGGGGCCCGAUUCUGAACUGAGUGUGGAAGUGUUACUAUGAAUGCCAGCUGAAGGACCUGAGGCACAGAGUGCCCGCUCAUGUCCUGUGGAUACAGGGUGAGAACUCUUAGCGAUGAGGCACGAUUCAGGAAGCAAAGGUCCCACUCCGGAUCUUAUCAGUGUAAAUUCAAACUUUUUCAGGACUCUACUACAGACAGUGCUCCUUUAAGCUUCAAAAGACUGUGGAGAAGUGAUCUCAGGAAUUACUUUAUAUGGUCAGAGCAAGGCAAUAAAAUGUAUUUAGCUUUGGUUGGAACCACACUAAUUUCAAGGUGGUGGGAAAUAGAAUAAAGCACGUGACCUUCCACGCAGUAACAUCUACUUGGUCCUCAGGCAAAAGUCUACACAUCCUAUAACCUGUGAGAACAUGGGCUCCUGAAAGAUGAGUCACUUGCCCAACUUCACAAACACACAGAUGACAGAACAAGGAUUCGGAACUAAAGAUGACCACAAACCCUGUUCUUUCCCCUGCAACCUGGAAAAUGUAGCACGAGGUAGACUUAUUCUACCAAAAACUCGGGAACUUGCUGAGCAAAGAUUUGAUGGAAACAUCAUGCAACAUGAAAGUUCCUUUUUCAGUGAGCAAAGAAAGUUGGGUCCAGGACUGCAGCUGGGGAGGAACAGAGGAGCGAAGCUUUCACUCUGAGUUUCCUUCGUCAAUCAAAGAGAUAUAUACCUGGAAAGAUCCCUCCCCAAGUCUUUCUUGGGAGCUGUUCUUGAAAACAUAUUUCUAAGGAUGGUGCCUGUCCAGUCUAAGCUGCUCUCUUCCCUGUCAUAUACUCCUGCGAACAGUAGCCUGCCUGGCAUCUUCCUGGAGGUACUGAGCACACCCAGAAGACCAUAAACUUUUUGAAAGGCCUCCUGCGCUGUAAACAUGAAUAGCAAUAGAUGCUGGGACGGAGAAGGUGUCACUCUAACAACCUAAAGAGGAAUAAACACUAAACUUUUUGCAAGCAAUUAAUAAUGACAAUCAUCAUAAAGCUGAAGAUAAACAUUGAAAAAAUACCAGGACUCCACCUUGACGAAGACUGUUCUAGCCUCUGUGACCCUGUCCUCUCUAGACAUUUAUAGUUCCCUGUGUGCCAACCAAAGUGAAUCACUUGCAUUUCCCCGUCUAUGUCUGGGAAGCAUGGAGAUUUGGUCUUAAUCCUGAGAGCUUUAUAGUUGGGCAGGCCUGGGUUUGAAUCCCCUGUCUGCACUGUGUGUGACCUGGAUAAGACACUUAAACUCCCUGUACCUCAAUUCUCUCUUGUAUAAAACGGGCAUGGUCUUCCAAGGAAGAAAAAACAGAUUUACCUAUAUUUUUUAAAACACAAUAAACCUCAUUCUAUUUUGAAAUUACCACGUGUCACCAUUCAACAGUUUUAAAAAUCCAGGACACAUUGUGGAAUUUUCAUGAUCUUAUUUUUCCUAUAUAAUGAAAAUUUUCUAUCUCAUUAACUUAGGAAUUAUCUUUUGUUACUCAUCAAUUAUUCUCAACAAACUAAAAAGUCUGAAAUAAUAAGAAAGUAGAAUAAUGAUGGAACUGCCUAGAAGGAUGAUGCAAUCGUAAAAUAAAUCAUCAUCAUUAUCCCAUCAUCAUUCAAUCUUCAUAUUGUGUUGACUAAAGUAUUACAUCAUCAUUCAAGAAGGUAUAAAAGAAAUUGGAGACAUUUUUAUGGUCUACUUUUAGUUUCACAGAACAUAAUUGAGAAUUUAGAGUUUUUAUUUUCCAUCCCAAACUGCAAAGAGAAGAAAAUUGACAGAGGAAGAUAUUGCAGUUAUUAGAUGAAUCAGAAAAUGAAUGCAAAAGACAGAUAGCAGUAUGCUAAACUUUAAUGCUUAGGGUGAAAUUGAAAGUGAUGGUUCAAGUGAAAUCUCACACUAUGAAUCUUUAGAUGACAACGAAUUUUCUCAAACUGAAGAAUCAGUGAAUGAACAAUACAUUUCAAAGGACAAAAAGGAAAUACGGUAUUCUCAUCCAGUCAGUCUUUCAACUAGAAGAUCUUUAUCAUGCAAUAUUUUGUGGCAAGAACCUGAAUCAUCUCGUUUUGUUGAAGGGUAUGUAACAGUACUCUUUCAUCUCUUAUAAAGACUGUAUAUGAAAAUUUAUGGUUUUUAAGUGCAAAAAUGCUGAAGAAAGGUGAAUGCAGGUAUCGGAAAGAAAUUGAGAGUGUAUAAAUGAAAAAUCAUUGGAUUUGUCAUCCUAAUUAAUGUUUAUAAAUAUAAGAAUAAAAAUUCUUUGCAAUUAUA